RNAcentral lists this ribosomal RNA (119 nucleotides) under Enterobacter cloacae complex sp. 2DZ2F20B. Lineage: Bacteria; Pseudomonadati; Pseudomonadota; Gammaproteobacteria; Enterobacterales; Enterobacteriaceae. The record is from RNAcentral.
AGGUGCGAUCAUCCCAGCACUAAUGCACCGGAUCCCAUCAGAACUCCGCAGUUAAGCGUGCUUGGGCGAGAGUAGUACUAGGAUGGGUGACCUCCUGGGAAGUCCUCGUGUUGCACCUC